Macaca fascicularis (crab-eating macaque) is the source of this 1899-nucleotide long non-coding RNA. The record is from Ensembl. NCBI's taxonomy places the organism in Eukaryota, Metazoa, Chordata, Mammalia, Primates, Cercopithecidae.
UUUUUUUUUUGAGAUGGAGUCUUGCUCUGUCACUCAGGCUAGAGUACAGUGGCGUGAUCUUGGUUUACUGCAACCUCCGCCUCCCAGGUUCAAGCGAUUCUUCUGCCUCAGCCUCCUGAGUAGCUGGGACAAUAGGUACACACCACCACACAUGGCUAAUUUUUUGUAUUUUUAGUAAAGAUAGAGUUUCACCAUGUUGGCCAAGAUGGUCUCAAUCUCCUGACCUCAUGACCCACCCACCUCGGCCUCCCAAAGUGCUGGGAUUACAGCCGUGACAAAUUUCUACUUUUUAUAAGAGCACCAAUCAUAUUGGAUUAGGGCCCACCGUAAUGUCCUUAUUUUAACUUCAUUACCUCUGUAAAGACUCUGUCUCCAAAUGACAUCACAUUCUGAGGUACUAGGGGUUAGGACUCCAGUGCAUCUUUUUUGGAGGGGGCAUGGGGUGCAAAUUUAGCCCACAGCAUUAGUGACCUCCCUCUCCAAACGAGGAAACUGGCUCAGAGAGCUUGUCAUAUGCCUGAGGUCAUGCAGCCAGGAAAAGCAGCAGCCACCAGCACUGUCAGAGCCUGUGUGGGCCCCACGACAUCAUGUUCCCUGGCUCAGCAGCACCGACACCUUUGUGGAACCCACCGUCGCCCAUGGGCAUAGAGGGCACCCCACCACAGAGCUGUCCUAUGACUGUGCCAGGGUGAGAGUGGGGAGCGGAAGCUGGGCUCCCAGCAAGCCUCCCUGACCUCCCCCUGUCUCCCUGCAAUGAGGAGAGAGAGGAAGACAUGGCAGGCAAGGAGGGGGUGGGCAGAGCGGAAUGGGGGGUGAUGGUGUUGGGCAGUCCUCACAAGUCCCCAGCACUGGGGUCUACUCCCGUCCCUCUCUCCCCUCUUCCACCUGGUUGGUUUCCAAUCAGGAGAGCGCCUGGGUAGGUUCUGGAAUGGCUCCCACUGGUGAUUUAUAAAAUGAAGCUGCUUUUAUUCAACUACUUGAGUCACCUUUUAGAAUUUCUUACUGUCCUGAUUCCUACCUUGCACUCUCAGAAAAGGAUCCCUGAAGUCAAGAACGAAAUCCCCACCACAUGACAUGCACACCCUCCUCCCCAUCCUCCACCCUUCCUCCACGCCCUGUGGUGCCUUCCGCCAUUCAGGGAGAUGAUGCACAAGGAUUAGACAAACACGUCCAUCUAGAGAAAGGACUUCACUGGAACCUGGAAGUCAGAUUGCCACCUUCUGAGACUCAAAAUGUCUUCUUACAGUGGCAUCUUGUUUAACUUUAAAAUGGAUUACUGAUGCCUCAGAAUUCUGAAAUGGUUUGAAUUCCAAGUUCAGAACCAGCAGGUAGCCCGGCCAGACACCGGCACCCCAGGAGGACUCACUUGGGACAUCAGACCUCCCUGCCUGAUGGACCCAAAUCCUCCGCAAGGUAUACGUCUCACCCUCAGCCUGUUUAAAAGAACUGUUGACAUCGUGGGAAAUAUUCAUGUCUAAUUUGCCACCAAAGUCUUCACGGCCUUGGACAGUGAUUUUAAUCACUCUAGACUUCGGCUCCUCCCUUUGUUAAUAGUAACAAUAAACAAUACCCAGCUCCCAACAUUACUGUGAGAAUUAAGUAAGAUAAUACGCGAUAUUUCUUAGCAAACUGUAAAAAGUGCUGUGCAAAGUAGAACGCAGGUAGACGCUGGCCUGAUCCUUCCAUGGAUCAUCUGCUCAGCCCACACUCUGUGAAAGGGGGCUAAAGCCUGGGAUAAAAACCCGCCUGAAGGCUGUGAACUCUUUGAGAGUCAUGGUUGUGUCCCUUAAAUGUGAUAAUCCCGACACAGUGUCCAGUGCAUAAUCCCAUUACGGUGUCUGCUGCUCAACAAAUAUUUGUGGAAUAAAGGAAGGAAAGGAAGAAGAAAAAGAAAAAGGG